Nomia melanderi (Alkali bee) is the source of this 79-nucleotide small nucleolar RNA. RefSeq annotates it as small nucleolar RNA snR60/Z15/Z230/Z193/J17. The record is from RefSeq and is a predicted model, not a curated record. NCBI's taxonomy places the organism in Eukaryota, Metazoa, Arthropoda, Insecta, Hymenoptera, Halictidae.
GCAAAAUAUAUGAUGAGUUCAUAGUUCAAUUGAUUUAGACUGAAAAGUUACAAACUUUCGCCCCUAUCUGAUAUUGUUA